AGAAAUGGAGAAUCUCUCGCUCAAGUUAGCCUUACUGGCAAUGUUUCUGGUUGUUGCAAUUGUUUAGUGAUCCUAUUAUAUAUAUAUAUAUAUAUAUAUGUAUACAUAUAUAUUAUUUGAAAAUUUAUAUUUAAAUAUUUUAUCUGUGCUCGUGUAGAGGUAUUAAUCAAGAUCUAUGGAAUUGGUAUAAGUAUUUUCUUAUAAGUAGAAAAUAUAAGUAUUUUUUCUUUCUUCUCAUAACAUAAUUUUUUUUUUUUUUCAUUUAUUGAUAGAUUCACUUAUUGGAGUUGAAGCAAGAGGACCUGUUAUCAGAUAGGUGUGUAACACAACUGCAGAUUGUUCUUUUACGUGUCAAAAAAGGUGCCCAUGCGAAUCAAAUUUACAGACUCACAAGUGCCAAUGUAAAUUUGAUACGCCAUCCACAGUCACAAUAAGAACCUAAGAGGAGAAUCACUGAACUUAAUAGGCAUACCUGCACGUUCUAUUAGAAAGUGGUGUUUCUCAUAGAUUUGUCAUCUAUGUCAGGGUCUUCAAUAAAGUACGAAGAGGAACUUGCUAUAAAAAAUUAUCAGUACCAUUUAUGUUGGUAUAUUCAUUUGAUCAUAUCUUUUAGAACUCAUAUAGCAACAUUAAUUUGAGGAAAGAUCAAAUAAAAUUUUAAUAAGCCAAAGAGAUAUGAAAAUAUGACUUUAACUCUUAAAAAUAUAACUUAUAAAAUUUUGAUAAAGGGGUACUAUCAGGAUCUAAUCUCUCCUGCAUGUAUUCUUUGCCAUGUUUGUGAUAUAUCAACUUCUUUAAAUCCUUCAUUUUUCUGAGAUUUUUAAAAAUAACAUUUUUAUUAGAUUCCUGGAGAG
Molecule: long non-coding RNA, 854 nt
Filed under: Carica papaya (papaya)
Lineage: Eukaryota; Viridiplantae; Streptophyta; Magnoliopsida; Brassicales; Caricaceae
Description: long non-coding RNA (CPAP_LNC002602)
Source: RNAcentral